CGCAUCGUUUUGCUUCAUUUCAUAAGCAAGCAUUGAAUACGUAGUCAAGACAACAUCAUAUUGAGAAAGUUCGUAAGAGUCCAAGUUUUUCUUAGUGGACCCAUGAUGGAUGUAAACGGAUAAUUUUUUACUGGGGUGCACUUUAGUAGACAAUUCUUCAGCCCACUGAUGUAAGAGGGCGACAGAAACCACAAUCAGGUUUGUCUUACGAAGAGGGUCUUGGGAUUUUUGAGUAAGAAGUAAAGCAAUUGUUUGAAUGGUUUUUCCAAGGCCCAUGUCGUCGGCCAUAACCCCACCACACUUGGAGCUUUGCUCCAUGGAUUCCAUCCAAGCAUGGCCCUCGACUUGAUGUGGUAAAAGAGAAACCAAUAAACCGGCGGAUUGUACUUGCUCAUUUUUCAACUGCAGGUCGAUCGUGUCGAACGGACUGGGAGUAUUAUGCUGAAGUAAUUGAUGCAAUUCUUUUGUGACAUGUUCUGGUUGCACCUUACGCUCAUAAGGGCAAAAAGAGUUGGUACUAAUAGUCCCGGUAGGUAGGGAUGAAGAUGAUGGAGGUGGAAGAGGAGUAGGAAGACGACUCAAUUGUUUAGCGGUAAUGAAGGAGGAAGGAGGAGUCAAAUGUUCGGGAUUAUCAAGAUCAAUAGGGUGGUCACUCGAGCCUAAUACGGAAGGGAUGUCGUUAGAGACGGAAGAAGUGGUAUGUGGAAUAGAAGAAAUUGAUGGAGUAGACGAAGAAGAUGGAAUAGAAGGAAGAGAUGAUGAGUUUGAGGGAGUAGAAGUUAAGCGCGUAGGGGGACGAAAGGGAAAGUUUUUAAAAGACCAAAGACGUUUUUGCCGCCAUCGCUUGCGAGUGGAAAGGGAAGAAGAAGUAGGAUUUUUGGAAGGAGGAUGAUCAAAGGGAGGAAGAGAAUAGGAAGAGGAUUGUGAAUUUUGAAGGGACCUAGCAAAUUGUUCGUCUAGUUCAACUUGGUUUUGGGAAGAAGAUGAGGAGGGGGCAGAAGAGGGGGAAGAAGAAUUCCAUUCAUCUUGAAGACGACGGGCCAAUUCCUCGUCAUUUUGAAGUUGCUGAAAGGUGGAUUGAGGAGGAUAUGCAGACAAUGAAUCCAUGAUGAUUAAGAGCUAGGCUAUAAAAGAGACAUGAUUAGAAGGAAGAGACCAGGAAGAAUUAUUUUAAAAUCGAAUUGAGGGGGAAAAUGGAAUAUAUAGAAAGUGUAUGAAAAGUAUGCAAUGCCACUCGAAAAAAAAGUGGUAGAAAAAUUAAUUGUAAAUUAAAAAAAAAAAAAAAAAAAAAAAAAGGAAACAAAAUGAAACACUGAAAUAAUAAUGGAGACCUAUUUGGUUUAAGAAAGUGUGAUGGAUAAAUGUAAAACAAGCAUUUAUGGAAAGCACUAUGUACAAAUAAAAAAAAAACACUAGUGAGAAGUGGAUGAAAUGGGAAAACACUUGCUCUUUAAGUAUGACCUCGUUAACGUUUGUUGAAAAAAGAUAAGGAAAAUGAACGAAUUAGAACGAGGCAAUUGAUGAAAUGCGCAGAUGAGCGGUGAGAUGCAAUAUGGCGGAAUCAAACAAGUUGAUAUGUAGUAAAAGUUUAACGAUUCAAAAUCUCGAGAAUGAUAAAGAUAAUAGGAACUGAGUAUGCUAGAGAUGAAUUAAAGAAGGAUAACGAGAGUAUUGGAAUGUGCGAUAAAACAAAAAUGAAUGGAGGAGUAGGAGGAACUAGGUAAAUCAAAAAGGAAAAUGAUGGUAGGAUGUAAAGAAGAAAACCGUUUCAAAAAACGAAUCGCAAAACUAUUGAAAAGAAUAUCUAACCAAAAAUUAAAAUAAAAUAAAAUAAAAUAAAAAGCAAAAAAAAUAAAUAGAAAAAAAUUUUUGUUUUGUUCUGGUCAACCGAUGAUAUGAAUUAAGAGACACAUUUGAUAAGAUGGAAUGGAUGCUGAAACGGGUUUCCAGUAAAAAGGAUGGGAUGCACCUUCGAGAAGCAUACGUGGUCGUCGACGAGAAGGAAAAGAACGAAAAGUGUGAAGAAUUUGAAACAAGGCAAAAAUUAGAUAGAAGAGAUGAAAAGAAAAGCAAAUUUAGACAAAGGAAUUGAGUAGCCGAUCUUUAAUUGCGAAAGAGCGAUUACAGCUGCAAAAGUUGGAAAAGUAGGGCCAAAAGAGACACGUGAAAGUAAAACAGAGAAAAAGAAGAAAGGACAAGAAGGAGCGGUGGCGCGCCUCCCGAAAAAAAAUAAAUAAAAAAAAUAAAAAAAUUUAGUGAAAGAGAGAUUUGAAUGAAUGAUUCUGCUAACGAAUAUUUUGAUGAAUAAAAUUUAAGGAAUGAGGCGGGUUUAUGAUUUUGAAACGAGAGUUUUCUUGCAUGCACUUUUUCGAAUUUGCUUCCAGUGUGCUUGCAUGUGUUUGUUUUGCGCAACACAUGUGUUUGAUUGUGUGAUGCGACUAGAACUGUAAGCUCUGGAGAUGUGUUGAAGAUCUUGCUUUUCAAAAAAUUCCAACUCGCACCACUCUUCUCACUAUCGCCGAAGAUUGACAAUGGCAGGAUUAGCGUAGCAUAGCGAGCUGAAAAUCACAAGGCAAAAAAGGUGAAAGACGAGGACUAGUCGGUACGGAGUAAACUUAAUCCGACCGAGCACAGGGGAGGCAAAAUAGGAGCCGAGAGGAACACGAGGAACAAAACAAAAAAAAAAAAAAAUUUCAGUUGCGAAUAGGAAAAACACAAAAUAAAUA
Molecule: long non-coding RNA, 2726 nt
Filed under: Schizosaccharomyces pombe (fission yeast)
Lineage: Eukaryota; Fungi; Ascomycota; Schizosaccharomycetes; Schizosaccharomycetales; Schizosaccharomycetaceae
Source: RNAcentral